CUCCACAUCUAACGUGGCAUUUGUUUUUCUCUUACUGCUAUCUGCUGGAACAUGCCUUUUACGCCCCCCAUUUCGAAAUUUCUCACCUCCCCCACUUCUCCCCUUUGCCCAGCUUCGCAACGUUCUCCCCUUUUGCUUAGUUUUAUCUUCCUUUCUGUCUUUCCUUGCUCUUUGCUUUUUCUUCCUCUUCGUGAAAUUUGUUUGGGCGCCCUACUAUUUCCUUCACCCCACAUUCUCACUCGCAUUUGGAUCUCACUUGUGAAACCCAAUGAAUUCUCACAACAUCCAAGCAGGAGAAGCAAAUCUAAAUAAAACAAUGACCUUUGCAAGAUUUCGAGAUCAGAAAACCCCUACCAUGGGUUCUCACCAAAGAGUGUUCUUCAAGAUCAAGGUUGCAACAGUUCAUGCUUUGGAAUCAGAAAUGGCAUAGAACUUGAACCAGGGAGGUGCGGAAGAACAGAUGGGAAGAAGUGGCGAUGCAGCAGGGACAUUGUUCUUGAUCGAAAGUAUUGUGUGCAGCACAUGCACAGAGGUGCCAAAAAGCAUGUGGCAGUGACCCAAAAAAUAUCUGUUCCCACAGCUUCUUCCAGUGUUGCAAUUCAUAGAGCUUCACCAUCUCUCUCUACAAAUGUACCCAACGAGGCAGGUCUUUCUUCUCUGAACACAGAUCUUUCCAUCUCAAUCUAAGCUAGCUCUCAACUCCUGGAAAUUGAUGAAAAAAGUACCACCAACAGUAGUUGUGAUACUACCAUGACGGACACCAGCAUCACUGCCAAUGAGUAUAGUUACAUUUCCUGUUAAGGCGCUAUCUAGAAGACCAACCUUGUAAUCUUUGAAGUUCUUUUGUACCAUUCCAGCGGUUGAUACACCAGUUUUGGGGAGUUGUUGAACUAUUUGGUUAAAUGGAUACACUGCUUAUAGUUUUGCGUUUUCAGCUUUCUCACCCACAAAGCUCUUGAUUCGGUUGUACUGAUACACUCCUAAAAAAAUGGAAAAUAUAGGGAUUUUCUUCGAGAAAA
Long non-coding RNA from Carya illinoinensis, 1019 nucleotides. RefSeq lists it as uncharacterized. The record is from RefSeq and is a predicted model, not a curated record. NCBI's taxonomy places the organism in Eukaryota, Viridiplantae, Streptophyta, Magnoliopsida, Fagales, Juglandaceae. The transcript has 2 exons.